CCUACGGGAGGCAGCAGUGGGGAAUUUUGGACAAUGGACGCAAGUCUGAUCCAGCCAUGCCGCGUGCGGGAAGAAGGCCUUCGGGUUGUAAACCGCUUUUGUCAGGGAAGAAACGGCUUUCUCUAAUACAGAGAGCUAAUGACGGUACCUGAAGAAUAAGCACCGGCUAACUACGUGCCAGCAGCCGCGGUAAUACGUAGGGUGCAAGUGUUAAUCGGAAUUACUGGGCGUAAAGCGUGCGCAGGCGGUUAUGCAAGACAGAGGUGAAAUCCCCGGGCUCAACCUGGGAACUGCCUUUGUGACUGCAUAGCUAGAGUACGGUAGAGGGGGAUGGAAGUUCCGCGUGUAGCAGUGAAAUGCGUAGAUAUGCGGAGGAACACCGGAUGGCGAAGGCAAAUCCCCUGGACCCUGUACUGACGCUCAUGCACGAAAGCGUGGGGAGCGAAACAGGAUUAGAUACCCUGGUAGUCCACGCCCUAAACGACUAGUCAACUGGUUGUUGGGAGGGUUUCUUCUCAGUAACGAAGCUAACGCGUGAAGUUGACCGCCUGGGGAGUCGGCCGCAAGGUUGAAACUCAAAGGAAUUGACGGNNGAGAGAGCGAGACGACGACGAGGGAGGAGG
RNAcentral lists this ribosomal RNA (623 nucleotides) under uncultured bacterium. RNAcentral describes it as "bacterial SSU rRNA". It matches the Rfam family "Bacterial small subunit ribosomal RNA", at positions 338 to 948 of the family's 1533-position model. The record is from RNAcentral.